UGAAGAUAUAGGGCUAGUACUUAUAAGAGC
RNAcentral lists this non-coding RNA (30 nucleotides) under Rattus norvegicus (Norway rat). The record is from RNAcentral. Lineage: Eukaryota; Metazoa; Chordata; Mammalia; Rodentia; Muridae.